GUUCAGCGGAUGUUGCUAAGGAAUAUUGCAGCGCUCGUUGAGUCGGACAGAGGAAAAUGUGUGCCUUCUGUGCUUGCAAGCUGCUGCUGGAUACGUUCGUGGGAAAUUAGCCGUCUGCAUUUUACAGAUCCUGCGUGUAAAUUUCCCGGGAGGCCUGGCCUGAGUGUUCUCGCUGUGCCUUACCAAAUCGUGGACCAUGAUGGAGCGACGAAGAGCCUUAACUAUUCCUUUUACUGUUGACAAAGAUAACCUGAUGGAAAACCCACUCAGAAUCCCCAUGACAUGUCUUUCACCAGACUGUGGAAAGUUAGAAAGACAGGUACACAGCAAUGUCUCUGCUUACUGUCUUACCCCAUCACCACUUGUUAUGGUGGUAAAAUGGUAUUUCAGG
Molecule: long non-coding RNA, 391 nt
Organism: Amphiprion ocellaris (clown anemonefish)
Lineage: Eukaryota; Metazoa; Chordata; Actinopteri; Pomacentridae
Source: Ensembl